UCUAAGGUAUAUUACCAGAAACACGAUUGGU
This 31-nucleotide non-coding RNA is filed under the name Mus musculus (house mouse). The record is from RNAcentral. Lineage: Eukaryota; Metazoa; Chordata; Mammalia; Rodentia; Muridae.